UACGGGGGGGGCAAGCGUUGUUCGGAAUUACUGGGCGUAAAGGGCUCGUAGGCGGCCAACUAAGUCAGACGUGAAAUCCCCAGGCUUAACCUGGGAACUGCGUCUGAUACUGGAUGGCUUGAAUUCGGGAGAGGGAUGCAGAAUUCCAGGUGUAGCGGUGAAAUGCGUAGAUAUCGGGAGGAACACCUGUGGCGAAAGCGGCUCACUGGACCACAACUGACGCUGAUGCGCGAAGGCGUGGGGAGCGAACGGG
RNAcentral lists this ribosomal RNA (253 nucleotides) under uncultured bacterium. Its description in RNAcentral is "partial 16S ribosomal RNA". It matches the Rfam family "Bacterial small subunit ribosomal RNA", at positions 524 to 776 of the family's 1533-position model. The record is from RNAcentral.